AGUGAACGCUGGCGGUAGGCCUAACACAUGCAAGUCGAACGGCAGCACAGUAAGAGCUUGCUCUUACGGGUGGCGAGUGGCGGACGGGUGAGGAAUACAUCGGAAUCUACUUUUUCGUGGGGGAUAACGUAGGGAAACUUACGCUAAUAUCGCAUACGACCUACGGGUGAAAGCAGGGGAUCUUCGGACCUUGCGCGAUUGAAUGAGCCGAUGUCGGAUUAGCUAGUUGGCGGGGUAAAGGCCCACCAAGGCGACGAUCCGUAGCUGGUCUGAGAGGAUGAUCAGCAACACUGGAACUGAGACACGCUCCAGACUCCUACGGGAGGCAGCAGUGGGGAAUAUUGGACAACGGGCGCAAGCCUAAUCCAGCCAUACCGCGUGGGUGAAGAAGGCCUUCGGGUUGUAAAGCCCUUUUGUUGGGAAAGAAAAGCAGCAGGUUAAUACCCCGCUGUUCUGACGGUACCCAAAGAAUAAGCACCGGCUAACUUCGUG
This 492-nucleotide ribosomal RNA is filed under the name uncultured bacterium. RNAcentral's name for it is "partial 16S ribosomal RNA". It matches the Rfam family "Bacterial small subunit ribosomal RNA", at positions 29 to 507 of the family's 1533-position model. The record is from RNAcentral.